UAGGGAAUAUUGGACAAUGGGGGGAACCCUGAUCCAGCCAUGCCGCGUGGAGGAAGACUGCCCUCUGGGUUGUAAACUCCUUUUAUAUGGGAAGAACCGUCCUCAUUGAUGAGUGACCUGACGGUACCAUAGGAAUAAGCACCGGCUAACUACGUGCCAGCAGCCGCGGUAAUACGGAGGGUGCAAGCGUUAUCCGGAUUCACUGGGUUUAAAGGGUGCGUAGGCGGAUAUGUAAGUCAGUGGUGAAAUCAACGGGCUCAACCUGUUAACGGCCAUUGAUACUGUGUAUCUUGAAUAUGAGUGAGGUAAGCGGAAUGUUGCACGUAUCGGUGAAAUGCUUAGAUAUGCUACGGAACACCGAUUGCGAAGGCAGCUCACUAUUUCGUAAUUGACGCUGAGGCACGAAA
RNAcentral lists this ribosomal RNA (407 nucleotides) under uncultured bacterium. RNAcentral describes it as "bacterial SSU rRNA". It matches the Rfam family "Bacterial small subunit ribosomal RNA", at positions 355 to 758 of the family's 1533-position model. The record is from RNAcentral.